GCAGGUGUUGUUCCACAGCUGCGGGUCAUCAGCACUAAUCAGGAGGAGCAUAAAGAGAAGUAGCGUCCCUGAGGCUGAUACAUCACCUCUUGUUCUGGCUCAAGAUGCCUUCACUGAUCUCCUCGUACUUCCACCUGAGGACUGCAAAAGUGAUAACUUGGGAUGUGGCUAAGUGUACCGGCAUGCUGCUUCUCUGGCUGCUCUCCUGUUGUCCACUGUUGGAUGUUCCAAGGGUAUCUCUCGCUCACCUGCCUGUCUGCCCUCCCAUGCUCUCUGUCCAACAAAGGACACCAGCAAGAAUCAAACCACACAGCAGCCACCCUCCAACAGCAACGUACUCUGUCUCAGAUGAUAACAUCAAAACCUCCAGCUCAUUUCCACUCAUCAUUAACAAACCCACCACUGAUGACCUUGAUGAUUUCAUCUUGACACAAUCAGAUUAUG
Long non-coding RNA from Girardinichthys multiradiatus, 444 nucleotides. RefSeq lists it as uncharacterized. The record is from RefSeq and is a predicted model, not a curated record. Lineage: Eukaryota; Metazoa; Chordata; Actinopteri; Cyprinodontiformes; Goodeidae. The transcript is spliced from 3 exons.